AACGAACGCUGGCGGCAUGCCUAACACAUGCAAGUCGAACGAGACCUUCGGGUCUAGUGGCGCCCGGGUGCGUAACGCGUGGGAACCUGCCCUUAUGUUCGGACUAACUCCCCGAAAGGGGUGCUAAUACCGGAUAAUGUCUUCGGACCAAAGAUUUAUCGCCUUUGGAUGGGCCCGCGUUGGAUUAGCUAGUUGGUAGGGUAAAAGCCUACCAAGGCGACGAUCCAUAGCUGGUCUGAGAGGAUGAUCAGCCACACUGGGACUGAGACACGGCCCAGACUCCUGCGGGAAGCAGCAGUGGGGAAUAUUGGACAAUGGGCGAAAGGCUGAUCCAGCAAUGCCGCGUGAGUGAUGAAGGGCUUAGGGUUGUAAAGCUCUUUUAACCGGGAUGAUAAUGACAGUACCGGGAGAAUAAGCACCGGCUAACUACGUG
RNAcentral lists this ribosomal RNA (433 nucleotides) under uncultured bacterium. Its description in RNAcentral is "partial 16S ribosomal RNA". It matches the Rfam family "Bacterial small subunit ribosomal RNA", at positions 29 to 507 of the family's 1533-position model. The record is from RNAcentral.